GCGGGGGAGCUUGCUCCCGCCGGCGAGUGGCGAACGGGUGAGUAAUGCAUCGGAACGUGCCCAAUAGUGGGGGAUAACACAUCGAAAGAUGUGCUAAUACCGCAUACGCACUGAGGUGGAAAGCGGGGGACCGAAAGGCCUCGCGCUAUUGGAGCGGCCGAUGGCUGAUUAGCUAGUUGGUGGGGUAAAGGCCUACCAAGGCUACGAUCAGUCGCUGGUCUGAGAGGACGACCAGCCACACUGGGACUGAGACACGGCCCAGACUCC
Molecule: ribosomal RNA, 267 nt
Filed under: uncultured bacterium
Lineage: Bacteria
Description: partial 16S ribosomal RNA
Rfam family: Bacterial small subunit ribosomal RNA
Source: RNAcentral